AAAGUAAAUGCUCUAAGAAAAAGGAAGUGUGAGAAGUUUCUUCUAUUAUUUUCAACAGGGAGAAUUAAGCCUCUUAUUUUUAAUUUUUAUUUGUCCUUAUACCACUACUGACUCCAGUGAAAAAUGCUGGCAGGCGCUGACCGCAGGAGAGCUAACCACAAUAACCCCCACCUGAACCGCAGGAGAGCCUCUGAGAGGAGAGCCUGUGCCUUUAAGGCUGAGGAGGUCAGAGAGAGGACAUGACCGGGGUUGGCCCUUGAGCUGCACCCAGGAAAUCAGAUGCUCCUCACCCCUCCCCUUUUCUUGAACGUAUGUUCUGCCCACAGUUCCACAGUGGGAGCCAUUUUCAAGGAUGCGGCCUUGAGUGAGCAAUGUGUUGCUGAGACCAUCUGGAGUGAAUAUGUGACUGAACCCAGGGAAGGCCUCUGCAUAGACUGUUAAGAUUCUGGCAGGCAGAUGCAGAGAUCCACUUGUCUUACGGCCGCCCAGGACAAGCCUCGUAUGUAAGUUCCUUUGCUUGUUAAACCUGCCGCCUACCCAUCUGGAGUGGCCUGCCUCUUUCUUCAGUCUCUCUUGGCUCUCUGUAUAUGGGGCCAGUUUCAGAUCCCACCCAGGAAGCUCCCAUGGUUUAGGACCAAAAGCAUGGGGAAGAAUUAACCAAGAAACUUGUUUCAACUGCAGAGUCCUGAACUCUAACCUAUAGUCCCAACCCUAGACAGUAUAAUUUAGUCUGUUUGAAAAAGGACUCAGGAAUCUGAACUUUUAGCAAUAUUCAAGGUGAAUUUAACACAGGUGGCCCUCAGAACACUGAAAAACCCUAGCAGAGUGGAUUAAGCUGUGGAGUCAGGCCCAACUAGGUUCAGAUCGUUACUAGCUGCGCAGUCUCAGGGAAGCUACUUCUUUGAGCAGCAAUGUCCUUAUGCACAAGGACAUUUACUUGUCAGGACUGAGUGAGGAUGACAAAAGGAAUGUAAAAUGCCCCAAACAGUGCCCAGAGUGUAGCAUGUGCUCAAUAAAUAGUAUCUGCCGUUCCUCUUAUUAUUGUGUAAGCCGUCAACCAUAAUUAUAUAAAGGUUUAGAAAUGGGCCUCCAACUAAAGUUGAAAGGCCGCGUGAACUCGGAGGGAGCUGUAUGAUUUGACAGGUGAAACUGACCUCAUGAGUGACCUCAUGGACUUGUUUUUGCAAAGUAAACAUAAAUGAACUUGAGCUAGUAUAAACAUGACAAAGGAAAAUGAAACACGUUUCUUAUAAGGAUACUGGGUGUUGUCAGGAAUGUGUGCGUAGGAACGCAGCUGCUGAAUCUUUGGGAGAUCCAGGAGGCUGAGAACUUGGGCUGGAGCUGCCUCGUUUUGUCUCACUUGGUUUUGAGAAGCUACUUCGGUCUCUCUCCUCUCUGUAGACUACCUCCCACCUUGGAUGUGAACCUGAGGCCCGGGAUGGGGUGGGGAGCCUGCCACUCUUGCUGGCAACCGUUAAGACAAGCAUGAAGAUAAAAUCCAGGAAGCUAAGCAUGGAAGAGGGAAAGCAGACAGAGCCAGGAGCCCUGGGGCAUUGGUGAGCAGCCAGAUUGCCCACGCUGGACCUCUGAUUACCAAAGGGAUGAAUCUCUAUCCUGUGAAGAGCAUAGCUGCCGAUCAUGCCAAAACUGGAGCCAUCUUAAUGUGAACAACAGCUUUCCUCCCCAUAAUGACCGUGCCAGCCAUUGAGCCACCCAGGAGGAUCUGGGGAGCCCCAAGUCUUCAAAGCAGAAACAAAAGGGAAGACUUGUCCGAGAUUACCUUAGUCAUAAGCAGCUAAUUAUAAUAUUAAUUUGCAUAAUACCCUCCCUUUUAGCAGUGAUUUCAAUGCGAAAACCAAGUGGUAUUAAUGAAAAAAAAAUAGUUUCCAGCUGCCUAAGCCCAGAGGCUAAUCCAGGAAUUGAUGCCCUUGCAACAAUGACCAUAAGAUCUCCUUGUGGGCAGAGCCUCUGAAGGCCUGUUUGGGCAGCUAACCCUUCUUUUGAGCGCUCUUUUUUACCUUCAGUGGUUGAGACUGAGGUCUUAAAACUGCUCCUGCCAAUGACAACCAAAGUUACCUGCCAGAGCAGAAAGAAACAAAAGAAAAGGAAAAUCUUAAAUUAUGCGUUCCCUUCUUUAGAAUGGGCCUGUGGUUGGGGGCUGGCAUGUGGGCAUCAGUGGAAGAAAUUGGAGAAGGUGGAAGUGUUCAUGUGAAAAAAAAUGGUUCAACAAUUUCUUAUAAAGUUAAACCCUAUGACUCAGCAAAUCUACUCCUGGGUAUGUACCUAUGAGAAAUGAAGCAUAUGUUCACCAAAAGACUUGUAAAAGAAUGUUCGGAGCACUUUAUUUUUCAUAGCCUCAAACUGAAAACAAACCGAAUGUCCAUUACCAGGAGGGUGGAAGAACAUACUGUGGAAUAUUUACGUAAUAAACUAAUAAAAUACAGACAUACACAACUUGGAUGAGCUUUGAAAACAUUAUAUUGAGUGAAAGAAUUCAGAUGCAAAAUAAUUCAUACUGUAUGAUUCCAUUUGCGUGAAGCUCCAGAACAUUCAAGGCUAAUCUAUGGUCAUAGAAAUUAGAACAGUGGUUGCCUCUCGGCAGUGGUGGUAGGAUUGACUGGAAGGGGCAUGAGGGAAAUUUAUGUGGUGCUGGAAAAUUUUAUAUAUCUUGACCAGUGUUAUGGUUACAUGGAUAUAUACGUUUGUUGAAACUCAGCAAAUAGACACUUAAAGCCUAUGCAUUUUAUUUUAUGUAAAUUAUCUCAAAUUGGAAAGAGAAAAAAAUUCAAAUUUUUAUAUUGUUCAUGUUCCUAACUGAUUAAUGUGGCAGCAGUUGGCUCAUUAGCAGAUUGUUGCAGUGUGGAAAAAUUUUGUUCUCAACCCAAUGGUUUGUUUAACUGUGCUCACCGGGAACUCUUAAUCCAUCAAAAGGAUUUUAAGAUCCUAAUAAUUAGUUUUAGCACUGCAAGAGGACAGACAGACACAAUUCACCUUUUUGCCAGGAUUGACAGAUGCUAUUUUGAUAAGCACAGGAACCAUCAGUUCAACUAACCAGCCGUUAGACCAAAGUUGAGUUUAGGUGAGUGGAACCUUCUAAUUUGUUGAGAGCUGACAGGCUGACAGUAAUACACAAACUUUUUCUUGACUCUUCUUCUGUACUAUUUCUACAUCUAAAAUGAUGGCAGACUUAAAUGUGUCUCCACUACACUGUGUGUUUUGCUUCUGCAAGUCACGUCUGGUAGGAACUACCCAGGGCGUUCGGUCCCACCUUGAGCAGAUAUGGUCAGCUAGUCAUCCUCUUAGAGGCAUGAGAAUUAAGGAAAUCCAGGAAUACAAAAGUAGAGGUGUCAGCAAGCUCCAGCUGUGUUUAAAUUCCAGGUUUGUGAGUCUGUGAGUCUCUGGAACCUAAGAGGAGACCUGAAGAUACACACUUAUUCUGUGGACAUGACUGUAACACAAGAGUGGUUUCUCUUUAACACUUAAAAAUGUUUCCAUUUCCUUAUUUAAUAUUUGGCUACAUUUGUCACAGAAAUAAAGUUAUAUAUUUGGAAACUGUAUUGGGCUCUGUAAGAUUUGCUAGGUUAUUUUCUUUUCUGUUUAUUUCAUAAAACCAUUCAUUAGUCUGUUCAGGAGUUCCAUUUGGAAUUGCAGGUGUGAGUUGAAAGCCAGACAUAAACUAAAUUACAGCAUAUACAAAAUGGAUGCCUUACAAGUGGAAAAUGCAUAUUUUCAGCUGACCUGCUCUUCAAGUAACAAUAUGUGAGAGCAAAAUAUUUAGUGUAGACUAUGUAAUAGCCAUCUUCUUAUUUUUAUAAAGCUCCAAAAUUGUAAUCAAAGAGCAUGGAUGAGUUUGAGUAGCAGAGAAAGAGGAAA
RNAcentral lists this long non-coding RNA (3873 nucleotides) under Equus asinus (donkey). Its description in RNAcentral is "lncRNA (ENSEASG00005027428.1)". The record is from RNAcentral. Lineage: Eukaryota; Metazoa; Chordata; Mammalia; Perissodactyla; Equidae.